UUAAUCCAAAAGCAUUCUAGUGUGUUGGCUCCCAGCUCACGCCCUGACCGUGGACUGAUCCGGCCUGCCCUGAGGUUACCUUCCCUGCUCAUCAGGUGUGAGGACCUGGGCAAGUCACUGCACCUCUCUAGGCUUCAUUGUUCUCUCCUGGAAAAUGGGACCUGGCACCAGGACUUAAGCACAGGUUUGCGGGGAAGCUUCUGUUCCUGAUUGUGAACUAUUGUAGCUCUCAGGUAGUGUCACACACACAGGAAAUACUUCUUGGACUGCAUGCUCUGCCAGCACUGACCACCAAGUACUUCCAGGUCAAGCUAGUCCCCUGCCCUCGCAUCGCCAAAACUCCUCCCUUCAGGGUCUUAUAAAAUUGACUAAAAAAUUGUAUUCUACCCCUUCUCCUUACGAAUUCCAAAGUGGCCAAGCGGUACUGCUCUGAAUAGCACCAUGAAAACACAGAAAGAUGACAUGUUUGUAAGGAUGAACAUUUGAGAAAUCUCACCAGCAUUCAAAAGGCAGGUGUCUUGGGUUUAUUCAGUUCUCUUUAUCUGGUUGGAACGCCAGUUUGCUCAGGGCAGGACUCUGUGGAACUCAUUCACCCAUGGGCCUUAAGCAUCUGGGACAGUGCUUGGAACAAACAGGAUCCCUGCUUGCUCUUUGGCUGCCUGAUAUUCUGAAUGGACUGAAGUAAAACAAAGUGAGAGAGAAGAAAAAAUACAUUCCACUUUGUAGCUGCUUAUUAUAAGAAACUUCCACCUUGUCCAUGUAUGAGAUGCAUAUACAGAGAUCAUGGAAACAUCACACAGCAAAGUCUUUCUCCAGCAACUUGCUUUCAGAUACAAAGCGACACUCCAAUGUCAGAAAUCAUUUUAGAAAUUGCUUUUCCCUUUACAAAGCUCUGAACUUUGACUAAUUCCUCAAAGACACUUGUGUUUAUAUGGCUGUUUAUUUACUUAUUGUCCCUGGGUUGUUCAAUAGGUCUCUUGACAUCAUUCCUCCUAUCAUUUUGUAUCCUUUGACCAAUGUGCCCCCAAUACUUCCCAGCUCAACCAAGUCCAGCCUCCAGUAACCUCCCAUCUACUCCUUCUUUCUAUGUAUCAACUCUUUUAGGUCCCACGUACAAGUGAGAUCAUGCGGUAUCUGUGUUUCUGUACCUGGCUUAUUUCAUUUAGCAUAAUUAGGAUUUUAUUCUUUUUUUCAGCUGAAUGAUAUGCAAAUGUAUGUAUGUAUACACCCCCCCCACCCCCCCCACACACAGUUUCUUUACUCAUUCAUCUGAUAGAUAUUUAGGUUAAUUUCAUACCUUAACUAUGGUGAACGGUGCUGCAGUGAACAUGAGGUGCAGACUACCUUUCACAUAAUGAUUGUGUUUCCUUUGGAUGUAUUACCCAGCAGUGGGAUUGCUGGAUCAUAUGGUAGUUCUGUUUUUAAAGUUUUUCAGGAACCUCCAUACAGUUUUCCAUAGUGGCUAUACUAAUUUAUAUUACAACUAAGAGUGUACAAGAAAUUCCCUUUCCUCCACAUCUUCUCCAACACUUACCUGUUGCCUUUUUGAUAAUAGUUAUUCUGACAGAUAUGAGAUGAUACCUCAUUAUGGUUUAAGUUGCAUUUCCCUAAUGAUUAAUGAAGUUAAACAUUUUUUCAUCUAGCUUUUGGCCAUUUGUAUGUCUUAUUUUGAGAAGUGUCUAUUCAGAUCUUCUGUUUCAUUUUAAAUUAAGUUACUUGUUUUCUUAAUAUUGAGUCGUUCAGGUUCUGUACAUGUUUUAGUUAUUACCUCCUGGUCAGACAUGUGAUUUACAAAUAUGUUCUCUCUUUCUGUAGGUUGUCUCUUCACUCUGUUGAUCAUUUCCUUGGCUGUGCAGAAGCUUUUAAGUUUGAUGUAAUCUGAUUUGUCUAUUUUUGCUUUUGUUGCCUCUGCUUUUGCGUUCAUAUUCAAAUAAAUUAUUGCCCAGAUCAACAUCAUGUAUAGGGAUACUUACUAUUUCAAUGUAAACUUACCAAAAUCACAAAAAAUGUAUUGUUAGAAAGUAACUAUGCCACAUAAUGUUUCCACACAAGACUGUGCAACUUGUAUAAACUGUAUUACAUGAUGAAAAUCUCACAAUAGUGCUCAAAACCUCAGGUGUCUAUCUCAAAAGAAGACACAGUCAUUAGAUUGCCUUAUAAUUUGGAUUUUCCUUGAUUAAAAUUUCACAUUCACAUUUGUAUUUCCUUACCUCUGUAGAAAUAGCAUUAAAAGUAAUUCCCCAGGCAUCUGUGAUUGCUCUAGGAAUUUUUAUAUAAAACCUAUAUAUAUAUACACACACACACACACACACAUAUACAUAUAUAUGUGUGUGUCUAAAAAUAGUGUAUAUGUGACAUAGAAUUAUAUUUUGGAUAUAUUAAAUUGUCAUAUCUUUAUUCUUCAUUUUGUAGUCUAGGCAACUAAAUAACCACCAAAGUGACAAAAUAAGGGUACCUUUUCAUAACUUAGAAACCAAGGAAGAAUGACACAAUAUGCUAAUAAAAUUUUCUCCCAAUUUCAACUGGAACAAUUAAAUGAUAAAUUCCUAUGUAGAGAAAUGCAAUCAUCUAUAAUUUCUUCAUUUCAGGUCAGUUAAUAUGACCAUUUAAGCCUGUAUUUCCUAUUGCACUUCUCUUUUAGGUUGACAAAGAAAACAAAUCAGAAAUUCAACUAGCAGUUUUCCAAAAUAAAACAGUAAGGCUUAUUACCCUGACCUUAGCAGUUGGUACCCAAUUUAGUAUCUUUAUACUACGAUGGUUUUCUUGUAAAUGUUAUCCUUGGCCACAUCUAAAAUAACAAGUUUUUACUUAACAUUUAUUUUUUUCUAAAGAAAUUCAGUCUCUAGAAGGAAAUAAACCUGGCAGAAAUAGAAUUCCUACUUUUCUCCCUUAUGCUAGGCUCUAGAAAUACUGAGGAAAUCAUCCGCUUUCAGGACUGUUCUUGAAAGUGAUAACUUGCAUGCACUUGAGCCGCAUCUCCCCUUCCCAGCACACCUGAACCCCAGGUCCCACUGUUGAUCUCCCUCUUCAAAGCAGCUCUGUUAUCUUCCUGAAACUGGAGAGGGAGAGGCUUACUCCUACUUUCAAACCAAAAACAGAUUUAGACCCGAAAGGAUUUAAAAAUAACCUAAAAAUAAAGUCCCAAAGCUGGCUUUUCUAUGUUCAAUCACACAACACUCGAAACAAUUGUGUGUUGCUUUGAGUCCCAAAUGCUUUAAUUUUUUUAAAGAAUAUGCAGUUCACUUUCUUAUUCCAGCAAACAUCGCAUUUAUACUAUCAAUAUGUCCAGGGUUUACUAAAACUUCAUAAAUGACUCUCUGAUAUUUGAAAGGGCAAGAUUAGAGUGGCUUCGUAUUUCAAACACAUACGUCAAAGAGUUGCGUAACACAUAUGCACAUAUUAAAGUUAUUACAGAUGUGAAAAUCUGCUUUUUUUUCCUGCCAAAGAAACAUGUACUUCCUUCAUGAAGAAUUUCCUAAACAAAUUUUGCCAGUUUAAUUGCCUAUAGAAAUUUAUUUUUAAAACAUUUUAUUUAAACCAUGUAAGUCCCAAGGUAGUCUGUGAACGUGAACUUUAAAGCUAACAUUUUUGUCACUAGUUCCUUUUUGCUAUGUCAGAAAAGAAAACAAUUCACAGCCAUUUUAUUUUUCCAGUUUUUCUCAAGGUUAGAGACUGUCUCAACCUCAUAGGCUCAGAAGAAUGCCUUUAUUUUCCCAUGAAAAGAUAAUCCUGAAGUAAUAUUUGCAGCAAGAGGCCAUUAGGCAAGUGUUGACCCUUUAUGGCUAGUCCAAUUUCCUCUCUAUGUGAGAUAUUAGUAAUUAAAUUCAGAUUUCUGUGUAUUUAUUUUCUUUCCUCAACUCUGUUCAUGGAUGCCAUUUUUAGGUAUCUCUUGCCACUUGAGCAAUCAAUAAGCAAAAGAGAGAUUUGUAAGAGGCCUUAAAAGGAGAGAAAGAGGAUUUUUCUCUUAGGCCCAGUUAUAGAAUCAGUUGUUAUUUUUUGGUCUGCAAUAAAUUUUUCCCAUAUCUGUAUGGGCAUUCCACCCGCGAGUUUCAGUUCUCUUAUUGCUUUUCUAAAUGUCUUGAGAGGUCACUAGAAAAUUAUUACAGUUCAUUAUUAUCCAGAAACUCCAACUUCUGACAUAAAGUAGCAAUUAUUUUUAACUUAAUCACAGACUAACAUAGUUUUGGAUGUUGGAAGAAAUAAUGCUAAAAUUGUAUAGCUCAAAAAAAAGAAAGAGAGAGAGAGAGAGAGAAAGACAGCCUGAAUAUGUCUUGAGUUUGAGAAUUUUUCAAUCUUGCUUUAUUCUCAGGGAUAAUUUUCAAACCUGAAAUUAAAUAGAUCAGUUGAGACAUGGAAUAAGCUUCUAUGGAGGCUCAUUAUAAAACUCAUGUAGAGUCUAAUCAUUCUUCCUAACACUCAUUUUUCCACCCACUAAAUCAUUAGCUUCAUUAACAGUGAUUAAAACUAAACCUCAAUCUGGCAGAGUUGGAUGGAUUCUCACGUCCUUCUAAUGACUAUAGUCUAAAGCACCCCACUGGGAAAGUGAGUGCUUCCUGGAGCCCGUGGACACAGAGGGAAGAG
RNAcentral lists this long non-coding RNA (4581 nucleotides) under Homo sapiens (human). RNAcentral describes it as "HSALNT0132272". The record is from RNAcentral. Lineage: Eukaryota; Metazoa; Chordata; Mammalia; Primates; Hominidae.